This is a long non-coding RNA of Mauremys reevesii (Reeves's turtle), 573 nucleotides long. RefSeq lists it as uncharacterized. The record is from RefSeq and is a predicted model, not a curated record. NCBI's taxonomy places the organism in Eukaryota, Metazoa, Chordata, Testudines, Geoemydidae. The transcript has 3 exons.
GUUUACAAUAGGCAGCCUAUAGUUACUCUCUAGGAGGAGGAGUUUGGACUGGAAAACCCAGAGACAGAGGAGAGCCAGAAAGGUACUGCCGGUAGCGAGUCUGCAGAAUCUGGACUGGUGAGAUCAGUGAUGGACACCAACGGUGGAUCACAGGUGUCGAAGACAGAUGCUCAACCAGAACACCUGAAGGGAGGUCAAGAGUGUGAACCGAUGAAGGUCUCCCCGGUCAGAGAAAUGACAAUACUGAUGUAGAAUGAUGAGAAAUCACCUCGGGAAAGAUACAACUGAAUCUUUUGAAAAAUAGCCAGAAAUUAUACUUGUAUCUGAAGUGGGGGAGUUUUAUCAUUAUUCUCGCAAUAGCAGGAACGCUUCAUUAUGUAUUUUUAAAUGUCUUGUUAUCUUGAAUAAAUCUGUUUAUUACUACACAAAAAGAGCACAUUCAAUUGUUCAGGGAUGUAUUUUCUAGUAGACUCAUGGUUGUGAAACAAAUUGUGAUGUGAGAUUACGCUUAAUUCAGACCUAUUUUAGCUUGGAAAUAGAUAAUGGAUAAAGCAGUAGCCUUUUUAGCUGUUA